Molecule: ribosomal RNA, 444 nt
Filed under: Triticum aestivum (bread wheat)
Lineage: Eukaryota; Viridiplantae; Streptophyta; Magnoliopsida; Poales; Poaceae
Description: partial small subunit ribosomal RNA
Source: RNAcentral
AUGACAUAUCGCUGUCGUUCGGCCGCCUCGGGCUUGCCUCCUCUUGCAUCUCCGUGGUUGCGGUCGUCUGACAGCCUUGGGCUAGCCUCCUCGUGCAUCAUUGUGGUAGCCAUCGUCCAGCCGCCUCGUGCUAGCCGUACAACAGCCUUCGUCGGCGGCUUGGGCCCGAGGACAGCGGGAAGUGAAGGAGAGCCACGGGGAGGAACUGAUUUCGAUCUGCGCGGAUGCCGCGGAAGAAGCGGCUUCGUCCCCGAGAUCCAACGUCGCAGAGAUCAUCGGGGUUGUGUGGGAAGGGGGCUGGAGGCACCGAGAUCCAACGUCGUGCUCCUCCUCUCGCUCUUUGGCAAUCACGGGUCGGCCGCGGAUGUGGUGCGGCGGCGCAUGGUCAGGCGCGGGGCGGGCCCUGGCAGGAGGCGGAGAUGGGAUUGGGAGGCAGCCAGGUAG